GACGAACGCUGGCGGCGUGCCUAACACAUGCAAGUCAAGGGGAAACGGGUAGCAAUAUCCGGAGUACACUGGCGCACGGGUGAGUAACGCGUAGGUAACCUGCCCAUAGGACGGGGAUAAUUCAGCGAAAGCUGGACUAAUACCCGAUGUUGAGACGUCAUCACAUGGUGGUGUCUUGAAAAGCCCGCAAGGGUGCCGAUGGAUGGGCCUGCGUCCCAUUAGGUAGUUGGUAGGGUAACGGCCUACCAAGCCUGCGAUGGGUAGCUGGUCUGAGAGGAUGAUCAGCCACACUGGAACUGAGACACGGUCCAGACUCCUACGGGAGGCAGCAGUGAGGAAUAUUGCGCAAUGGCCGAAAGGCUGACGCAGCGACGCCGCGUGAGGGAUGAAGUCCGUUAGGAUGUAAACCUCUUUUGUCAGGGGAAGAAAACGCUCCCGGGGCUAAAUACCUUGGGGGUAAUGACGGUACCUGAAGAAUAAGCACCGGCUAACUACGUGCCAGCAGCCGCGGUAA
Molecule: ribosomal RNA, 514 nt
Filed under: uncultured bacterium
Lineage: Bacteria
Description: bacterial SSU rRNA
Rfam family: Bacterial small subunit ribosomal RNA
Source: RNAcentral